This 85-nucleotide transfer RNA is filed under the name Bacillota bacterium. RNAcentral describes it as "Firmicutes bacterium (anaerobic digester metagenome) tRNA-Leu". It matches the Rfam family "tRNA". From Rfam's summary of the family: Transfer RNA (tRNA) molecules are approximately 80 nucleotides in length. Their secondary structure includes four short double-helical elements and three loops (D, anti-codon, and T loops). Further hydrogen bonds mediate the characteristic L-shaped molecular structure. tRNAs have two regions of fundamental functional importance: the anti-codon, which is responsible for specific mRNA codon recognition, and the 3' end, to which the tRNAs corresponding amino acid is attached (by aminoacyl-tRNA synthetases). tRNAs cope with the degeneracy of the genetic code in two manners: having more than one tRNA (with a specific anti-codon) for a particular amino acid; and 'wobble' base-pairing, i.e. permitting non-standard base-pairing at the 3rd anti-codon position. The record is from RNAcentral. Lineage: Bacteria; Bacillati; Bacillota.
GCGGGCGUGGCGGAAUUGGCAGACGCGCAGGACUUAGGAUCCUGUGGGGCAACCCGUGGGGGUUCAAAUCCCUUCGCCCGCACCA